RNAcentral lists this transfer RNA (70 nucleotides) under Camelus bactrianus (Bactrian camel). It matches the Rfam family "tRNA". Rfam says of the family: Transfer RNA (tRNA) molecules are approximately 80 nucleotides in length. Lineage: Eukaryota; Metazoa; Chordata; Mammalia; Artiodactyla; Camelidae. The record is from Rfam by way of RNAcentral. RNAcentral also lists the same sequence under 2 other names.
AUAGGUAUAGCUCAGUGGUAGAGUGCAUGCUUAGGAUGCACAGUCCUGGGUUCAAUCCCCAGUACCUGUA